Molecule: signal recognition particle RNA, 95 nt
Filed under: Klebsiella pneumoniae
Lineage: Bacteria; Pseudomonadati; Pseudomonadota; Gammaproteobacteria; Enterobacterales; Enterobacteriaceae
Description: signal recognition particle sRNA small type
Rfam family: Bacterial small signal recognition particle RNA
About the family: The signal recognition particle (SRP) is a universally conserved ribonucleoprotein involved in the co-translational targeting of proteins to membranes. Archaeal SRP consists of a 7S RNA and homologues of the eukaryotic SRP19 and SRP54 proteins. In most bacteria, the SRP consists of a 4.5S RNA and the Ffh protein (a homologue of the eukaryotic SRP54 protein).
Source: RNAcentral
CUUGCAAUUCACCGCAACGCUACUCUGUUUACCAGGUCAGGUCCGGAAGGAAGCAGCCAGAGCAGACGACGUGUGUGCCGGGAUGUAGCUGGCAG